GCCUGGGUGGCUCAGUCGGUUAAGCGUCUGACUUCAGCUCAGGUCAUAAUCUCACGGUUUGUGAGUUCAAGCCCCACAUCGGGCU
RNAcentral lists this transfer RNA (85 nucleotides) under Felis catus (domestic cat). It matches the Rfam family "tRNA". From Rfam's summary of the family: Transfer RNA (tRNA) molecules are approximately 80 nucleotides in length. Their secondary structure includes four short double-helical elements and three loops (D, anti-codon, and T loops). Further hydrogen bonds mediate the characteristic L-shaped molecular structure. tRNAs have two regions of fundamental functional importance: the anti-codon, which is responsible for specific mRNA codon recognition, and the 3' end, to which the tRNAs corresponding amino acid is attached (by aminoacyl-tRNA synthetases). tRNAs cope with the degeneracy of the genetic code in two manners: having more than one tRNA (with a specific anti-codon) for a particular amino acid; and 'wobble' base-pairing, i.e. permitting non-standard base-pairing at the 3rd anti-codon position. Lineage: Eukaryota; Metazoa; Chordata; Mammalia; Carnivora; Felidae. The record is from Rfam by way of RNAcentral. RNAcentral also lists the same sequence under 1 other name.